UACCAGCUCUCCGAGUGGUGUGGAUGUUUAUUGGGCCUAAAGCAUCCGUAGCUGGCUGGACAAGUCCCCUGUUAAAUCCACCGAUUUAAUCGUUGGUGUGCGGGGGAUACUGUUCGGCUAGGGGACGGGAGAGGCCGACGGCAUUUCCGGGGUAGGGGUGAAAUCCUAUAAUCCCGGGAAGACCACCAGUGGCGAAGGCUGUCGGCUAGAACGCGCCCGACGGUGAGGGAUGAAAGCUGGGGGAGCGAACCGGAUUAGAUACCCGGGUAGUCCCAGCUGUAAACGAUGCAGGCUAGGUGUUUGGGCGGCCACGUGCCGCUCUAGUGCCGCAAGGAAGCUGUUAAGCCUGCCGCCUGGGGAGUACGGCCGCAAGGCUGAAACUUAAAGGAAUUGGCGGGGGAGCACCACAAGGGGUGAAGCUUGCGGUUU
RNAcentral lists this ribosomal RNA (429 nucleotides) under uncultured archaeon. RNAcentral's name for it is "bacterial SSU rRNA". It matches the Rfam family "Archaeal small subunit ribosomal RNA", at positions 474 to 903 of the family's 1478-position model. The record is from RNAcentral.